This 509-nucleotide ribosomal RNA is filed under the name uncultured bacterium. RNAcentral describes it as "bacterial SSU rRNA". It matches the Rfam family "Bacterial small subunit ribosomal RNA", at positions 8 to 526 of the family's 1533-position model. The record is from RNAcentral.
AGAGUUUGAUCCUGGCUCAGGGUUAACGCUGGCGGCGUGCCUAACACAUGCAAGUCGAACGAGGCUUCUCGUCCCGUAAGGGAUGGGAUGUCCUAGUGGCGAACGGGUGAGUAGCACGUGGGCAACCUACCCUUCCUGUGGGGGACAACUCCGGGAAACCGGGGCUAAUACCGCAUUCGGUCACCGUUCGCAUGGACGGUGCAGAAAGCAGCAAUGCGCAGGAGGAUGGGCCCGCGGCCUAUCAGCUAGUUGGUGGGGUAACGGCCUACCAAGGCGAAGACGGGUAGCUGGCCUGAGAGGACGACCAGCCACACGGGGACUGCGACACGGCCCCGACCCCUACGGGAGGCAGCAGUGAGGAAUCUUCCGCAAUGGGCGAAAGCCUGACGGAGCAACGCCGCGUGUGGGAUGAAGUAUCUCGGUAUGUAAACCACUGUCGGAGGGGAAGACCAAGACGGUACCCUCCAAGAAAGCCCCGGCUAACUACGUGCCAGCCGCCGCGGUAAUAC